This is a long non-coding RNA of Nerophis ophidion (straightnose pipefish), 677 nucleotides long. RefSeq lists it as uncharacterized. The transcript is spliced from 5 exons. NCBI's taxonomy places the organism in Eukaryota, Metazoa, Chordata, Actinopteri, Syngnathiformes, Syngnathidae. The record is from RefSeq and is a predicted model, not a curated record.
CCUGACUUCCGGCCGCCAUUUUGGAUUGGAAAAAUGGCGGCAUUUUCAACUACGUUAACAGAUCCGCUCAAACCUCCAAGGAGGGAAUACCUGGCUCCAUUAGGCCAUUCACUUGUCCUUCUGGGUAGACUUCCUCCUCAGAAAUCCUUGUGGGACCUGAACACAUCCAAGGUUUCAGACUGUGAUGGACGCCAUGCAGACCUGGAGCUUCCUCCACAGUGAGAAAGAUGCAAGACCCUCAAGGUUACAGUCACAUAACCACAGACCUUCGCAUGGGUGGCUGCGGCUUGUGCGAGCGCGACGUCCCGGGACCCCUGCAGCAUGACGGACAUCUCUGAUAGACUCAUAUCACGCAUGACAGAGUAACCCAAGACGUGGCCUAAUUAGCAAGUAGGACCUGAAAGAGGCAGGAUGAAAAUCAAAACUUUAUUUAAACAGCACAAGCACCAUCAACUUUACCCCCGAGCUUAUUUAUUCAUGGGAUGAUAAGAAGACUUUGGAAACUGCAAGAUAUGCCAAGUUGUCCUCUUUUAACGCACUCAACGCAUUCACAGGCCACCCACCUGUGCAGGUAUUCCGCUAAUCCAGGCCAAGAAGCCUUGUCAGGUGGAAGAAAGUUUAUCUUAUCCCAGGGCAAACAUGACAGUGUGGGGGAGAGGAAGAGUAGCAGUAGUGAG